Molecule: long non-coding RNA, 92 nt
Organism: Rhodamnia argentea
Lineage: Eukaryota; Viridiplantae; Streptophyta; Magnoliopsida; Myrtales; Myrtaceae
Exons: 3
Source: RefSeq, a predicted model, not a curated record
CCGAUCCCGAAGACAAGAAGCCAGAGGGGUAUGAUAACAUCCCAAAAGAAAUACCGGAUCCCUAUGCCAAGAAGCCUCAAGACUGGGAUGAU